Molecule: microRNA, 24 nt
Filed under: Branchiostoma floridae (Florida lancelet)
Lineage: Eukaryota; Metazoa; Chordata; Leptocardii; Amphioxiformes; Branchiostomatidae
Also listed under: 2 other names
Description: bfl-miR-4860-3p
Source: miRBase by way of RNAcentral
UGUAGAGAUUGUGUGACGGGUAGU